Molecule: long non-coding RNA, 724 nt
Filed under: Ananas comosus (pineapple)
Lineage: Eukaryota; Viridiplantae; Streptophyta; Magnoliopsida; Poales; Bromeliaceae
Description: long non-coding RNA (ACOM_LNC003131)
Source: RNAcentral
CAUAUUUUGAUAAACUUUUGGAGAGCAUGUUAGGAGCAAUAUAUAUUUUUGGAUUAAUUUCAUCCGUACUUGUCACACCCCAUUAAUCCCACAUCGGAUAGGAAUGGAAAUGUGAUUAGGUAUAUAAGAGACUUAAACACUACUAAUAAUAACUGGGCUUAAGUAUUUUGGGUCGAUAGUUGGGCCCAAUGAGUUAUUAUUGCUAGUGGGCUGGGUCGUUACAUUUGGUAUCAGAGCCAGUUCACCUGCCGGAAAUGUGUGACGAGUCUCGGCUGAGUUAGGGGCAGGGUCUGGAUGACAAGGCUAGCGAGACGAGUCUCACAUCGCCUGAUAAUCUUGCGCUGUGUGUGUGAUUGGACUGACGAGAACGUCAGGGUCUUAUAAAUCCCACGGGUGAUCUUGGGCUGUGUGUGUGAUUAGACUGACGAGAGUGUCAGGGCCUUAUUAAUCCCACAUCGGAUAGGAAUGGAGAUGUGAUUGGGUAUAUAAGAGAUAUAUAAGAGACAACGGGGAUGUGCUUGGGUAUUUAAGUCUCUAGUUAAGCAUUUUGGGCCGGUGGUUGGGCCCAAUGAGUUAUUAUUGCUAAUGGGCUGGGUCGUUACAGUACCCUUCUAAAGUUAUAAAAUAUCAUAAAUAUCCCUACAAAUUUUGUUAUAUCAUAAUUAUCCCUCCAAAUACUUCCUUUCUUUCAAAAAUGCCCUUGCAUUUAUACUCCAUCUAUUCA